AGCAGCCGCGGUAAUUCCAGCUCCAAUAGCGUAUAUUAAAGUUGUUGCAGUUAAAAGCUCGUAGUUGAAUUUCGGGGUUAGUAGGUUGGUCAUGCCUCUGGUAUGUACUGGUCUCACUGAUUCCUCCUUCCUGAUGAACCUUAAUGCCAUUUAUUUGGUGUUUUGGGGAAUUUGGACUGUUACUUUGAAAAAUUAGAGUGUUUAAAGCAAGCUAACGCUUGAAUACAUUAGCAUGGAAUAAUGAAAUAGGACGUUCGAUCCUAUUUUGUUGGUUUCUAGGAUUGACGUAAUGAUUAAUAGGGAUAGUUGGGGGCAUUAGUAUUCAAUUGUCAGAGGUGAAAUUCUUGGAUUUAUUGAAGACUAACUACUGCGAAAGCAUUUGCCAAGGAUGUUUUCAUUAAUCAAGAACGAAAGUUAGGGAUCGAAGACGAUCAGAUACCGUCGUAGUCUUAACCAUAAACUAUGCCGACUAGGGAUCGGAUGAUGUUAAUUUUUUAAUGUACUCAUUCGGCGCCUUACG
Molecule: unclassified non-coding RNA, 520 nt
Filed under: uncultured Glomus
Lineage: Eukaryota; Fungi; Glomeromycota; Glomeromycetes; Glomerales; Glomeraceae
Description: SSU rRNA
Rfam family: Eukaryotic small subunit ribosomal RNA
Source: RNAcentral